AAGAGCGAGCCUUUAUGGCGAGCAAUUAUAUCCAUAACACUGUGAACUGUUGGCCUUUUGGUCACAUUUUUUACAAACUCUUGUGUAAUGAACGUAUAAAACUAUAAUCAAUA
RNAcentral lists this unclassified non-coding RNA (113 nucleotides) under uncultured Tremellomycetes. RNAcentral's name for it is "sequence contains ITS1". Lineage: Eukaryota; Fungi; Basidiomycota; Tremellomycetes. The record is from RNAcentral.